RNAcentral lists this ribosomal RNA (207 nucleotides) under uncultured bacterium. RNAcentral describes it as "partial 16S ribosomal RNA". It matches the Rfam family "Bacterial small subunit ribosomal RNA", at positions 568 to 774 of the family's 1533-position model. The record is from RNAcentral.
CGUGUAGGCGGUUAGGCAAGUCAGGUGUGAAAUCCCUUGGCUCAACCAAGGAAGUGCGCUUGAAACUGCUUAACUAGAGUACAGAAGGGGAAAGUGGAAUUCCCAGUGUAGAGGUGAAAUUCAUAGAUAUUGGGAGGAACACCAGUAGCGAAGGCGGCUUUCUGGCCUGAUACUGACGCUGAGACGCGAAAGCGUGGGGAGCAAACA